This is a long non-coding RNA of Sitophilus oryzae (rice weevil), 2610 nucleotides long. RefSeq lists it as uncharacterized. The record is from RefSeq and is a predicted model, not a curated record. The transcript has 4 exons. NCBI's taxonomy places the organism in Eukaryota, Metazoa, Arthropoda, Insecta, Coleoptera, Curculionidae.
GAUAGUUAUGUCGCUCUUACAAUUUUUCUGAUUUUUUAAUAGAAAAAGUGGUUUUUCUGUACAGUAUUUGAGUGUAUUCUAUUCCUUAAGGUCUUUUUAACUUUCUGAAAAUGGAUGUUAUUUAUAAUAAUACACACUCAGCACAUCUUCUUAGAGUGCCCAUCCGCUACGGACGCUGGCGAUCAUUCUGGCUAUAAUGGUUUUGUUAUAGAUAUAGAUAUAGCACAUAAAAACCACCUAAAACAAGAGACCUGGGUCACUCCUUAUAAAAUUCUGAUAUUUGUCCAUCAUCGUUCUGGUUUACUGGAUUGGUUUUCGAUUUUCCAAUUAGAAAUUUUGUACAAUAAAUUGACGGAUGUAUACAGUUCCAGGGCAGUACAUUUAUCAUUUUGAUGAAUAUUACCAACAAAUGCAUCAGGAUUUAUAAGUAUAUAUAUAAUAAUAUAUAUAGUAUAUCUAAUUUUUAUUUCUUUGGCUCAAUAUAUUCUUGCUGGUUUUUAAUGUUCAUCAGUGGAUUUUAUCAUUUUUUUUUUCAGUUUCUCGAGAUACAUUUUUAUGGUUCCUUAUUAUAGAUACAUAAAUUGAGACCACCUAUUUUUAAUUUGGUCAAUUUUUUGGUUUUUGGUCACUACUUUUUCUUUUUGAUAGAAUACCACCUAACCUAGAACUUACCUUCAAGUUGUUUUUGGUUUAUUUUUAUUUCUUUAUAAUAACUUGACUCCUAUAUUUUCUUGAUUGUGGGAAUAAUAUCAUCAUUUAUCAAUUUUACAAAAUAUUCCAGCGAUUGUAUUUCUAUGGAUUUGUUUGAUAAAAUAUACCUCUACUAAGAACUCAUUUGUAUAAUAGCAUUUUUUUUAUGGUUAAUCAUUUCUCUGUUAUACCGUUAUACCUUGCCUUCUAUAUUUUUUUGUGUGUGGGCAUAAUAUAUUCAUUUAUCAGUUUUAUAAAAUAUUUCUUUGACUGCAUAUUUAUAGGUCUUAUUUCUUUCUUCUAUAGCUUUUGACUCUUAUGUUUUCUUGAUUUUGGAAAUAAUAUCACCUUUUAUCAAUUCUAUAAAAUAUUCUAUUGACUGUAUAAGUCUUAUUUGUUUGGUAAAGUGUACUUUUAUUUCUCUAUUAUAGCUUGCCUCUCAUAUUUUCUUGAUUGUGGGAAAAUAUGGUUUACUAUUUCUAUACAAUAUUCCAUGGACUGUAUUUGUGUAUAGGUUUUAUUUGUUUGGUAAAUAUCUAAUUAUUUAUAGACAAUGGUAAAACAUACCAUCUACUUAGAAUUUUACUUCGUUGAUUUCAUAUCAUCAUUUUUCUAUAAUAUAAGCUUGACUGGCUAAUAUCUUCUUCAUUGUGGAAAAAUAACUUUCGCCAUUUAUUAAAAAAAUCUGACUCGUCCACAUAUGAUGUCAUUUCUGGCUUUCCUAGCAUUUUCUCCAAUGAAUUUUCCUGAGUAACAUCGACUCCAGAGCAUUAUAACUAGCCUCCCCUAAGAGGAGGAGGCCCGGGUCACCCCCUAACUCUGAUGUUCGGGCAUCGAUGACCUAUGUAGCAUGCAUGGGUACCCAAGGGAGUCACCACCCUCUGGUUUACGAGCUAGGUGUUCUAACGCUAGAGGCUUCGGCCGGAUACGACCUGGCACCCAAGCUACGAGACUUCUUCGUGCACGUAUCCCGUGACGUCUCGACAAUAGAGGGGGCGGGAUAUCGGACACAUUGAAGAUGAUGAGGGGGGUCCGCCUGUAGGGGGUCCCGGUGGAUGUCCGCUCGAGGGGUGACGAGGGUGACCCGAGACGAGGCUGCUUAGCUGGGAUGGGAACUGACUGGUGAGGCUUAAUCGUCGCCCAAGGGUUAAAUCUGAUGAAGGGGGGCGAACUUAAAUGCUCUGGAGGAUUUUUUCUUUAUCUGAUUUUCAAAUUUUGAAUAGAUAUUCCUGGGAGGAGGCUCAGCAUAACCUUUUGCCAAUUUUUCCAGCUCUUAUUGACCAUAUACCUAUUUGUUUUUUCUUGUUUCCAAUGAUUGUUUUAUAAUUUGUAUUUUUUUGUGCCAUUCUUCUGACUAAUGAUUCUUCUGAUCAUUUUUUUUUUCAUGUAAUUAGACAUUUUACUUCUGUUUCGAUUGUAUUUUUAAAUAUUUUCUUCUUGUAUUGUACUAGCAAAUUCUGACCAUAAGACACAGAGUUCACAAAGUUUCACUUUUCUUUAAGAGAUAUGCUAUCAAACAAGGCUAACUGUUUUGCUCUGUGUAUUAUUGCUUAUUUUACUCAUAUUCUUCUAAGACUUCUAAGUCUUUAAACUUAUUUCUAUUGACACCUACAUGGAAUUUUAUAAUUUUGGAUUCACUUUCUAUCUGAUUUUCUUUUCAUUUCUUUUCUAAUUCCUGUACUGAGUCUUUGAAUGGGAUAUUGUACUGCUUUGGAACAAGGAUAUCUUGGAACAGCUGCACUUCAAUUCAACUACCCUCUUCAAGAUGCCAUUAGGUUGAUUAAGUUUAACAUUCAACAGUGGAUUGAGAAUGAAAUUCAUUAUUGAAGAGGAAUCUAAUUAAUUUUGGAACCAAGAGUUUCCAGGGUCCAAGGGUAGCCAGAAGAUUCAUUUACCUCAACAUAGGCAUCGGCAUGUCCA